Molecule: ribosomal RNA, 484 nt
Filed under: uncultured bacterium
Lineage: Bacteria
Description: partial 16S ribosomal RNA
Rfam family: Bacterial small subunit ribosomal RNA
Source: RNAcentral
AUUGAACGCUGGCGGCAGGCCUAACACAUGCAAGUCGAGCGGAUGAAGGGAGCUUGCUCCUGGAUUCAGCGGCGGACGGGUGAGUAAUGCCUAGGAAUCUGCCUGGUAGUGGGGGAUAACGUCCGGAAACGGGCGCUAAUACCGCAUACGUCCUGAGGGAGAAAGUGGGGGAUCUUCGGACCUCACGCUAUCAGAUUAGCCUAGGUCGGAUUGGCUAGUUGGUGGGGUAAAGGCCUACCAAGGCGACGAUCCGUAACUGGCCUGAGAGGAUGAUCAGCCACACUGGAACUGAGACACGGUCCAGCCUCCUACGGGAGGCAGCAGUGGGGAAUAUUGGACAAUGGGCGAAAGCCUGAUCCAGCCAUGCCGCGUGUGUGAAGAAGGUCUUCGGAUUGUAAAGCACUUUAAGUUGGGAGGAAGGGCAGUAAGUUAAUACCUUGCUGUUUUGACGUUACCAACAGAAUAAGCACCGGCUAACUUCGUG